RNAcentral lists this long non-coding RNA (776 nucleotides) under Callithrix jacchus (white-tufted-ear marmoset). Its description in RNAcentral is "lncRNA (ENSCJAG00000077279.1)". Lineage: Eukaryota; Metazoa; Chordata; Mammalia; Primates; Cebidae. The record is from RNAcentral.
UCAACCACGGUGCCAGGUCCAUAGGAGAGACUGCUCCAACCACACAGGCUACCAGAGAAUAAAAUAGACAUGGGGAAGAACUGGAUCCAACCUGCUGCUUAGAGACACGCAACUGAGUCCAACCUAGAUCACAUAAAAUCCAGCCACCCUGCAGAUGUGACUUCCAGCACUACGUUGAAUAGCAGUGUUAAGACUGGGCAUCCUUGCCUUGUUCUGGACCUUGGCAGAAAAGCUUUAGUUUUCUUCACUGAUUAUGAUGCUAGAGGUAGGUUUUUCAUAAAUUCCUUCAUUGUGAUGAUAUAAGUUAUUUCUAUACCUAUUCUGUUUAGAGUUUCUUUUAUCAUGAAAGGAUAUUGAAUUUGUCAAAAUACUUUUCCUGCAUCUGUUGAAAUAAUGUGGUUUUUGACUUUCAUUCUGUUAACGUAAUAUCUGUUGUAUCACAAUGUUGAUUUUUUUAUGUCAAAUCAUGCUUGAAUCUCAAGGAUAAAUUUCACCCCAUCAUGAUGUAUGAUCCUUUUAAUGUGCUGUUGAAUUCAGUUUUCUAGUAUUUUAUUGAAGAUUUUUGCAGGUAUGUUCAUCAAGGAUAUUGACUUGUAGUCUCUUUUCUUGUGUUGCCUUUUUCUGGCUUUAGUAUCUGGGUGAUGCUGAACUUAUAAAAUGAAGUUAGGUGUGUUUCUUCUUCUUCUUCUAUUUUUUUGAAGCAUUUAAUAAAUGCUGGUGUUAAUUCUUCUUUAAGUGUAUGGCGGAAUUCAUCCAUGAAGGCUUCUGGUCCUGGG